UGCUGAAUCCUAAUAAAAUAUGUGAAUAUACUGUUGCAAACCACCCCAAUCUCCAAGUGGUGCAAGAUUCCAGAGGUGGCAGGCACAGUUACCCAAGCAAAGCUGUGGCAGCAGCUGAUGGCAGCUGAUUCCAUUUCUGAGAUGCUUGAAGGAUUUCUGGAGAAGUCGGAUCAGAUCUGGAUCUAAAGAAAACAGAUGAAUAGACUGGAAGCUCCUGCGGUAUAAGAGACCUGGCUCUUGAGAUGGAUUUAUAUCAAAGAUUAAAGAAUUCACUAGACCAUUUGAAGCAAAAGGGAAUGGCUUAUACUUCAGUGAGAAUCUCACCACUGAGCUGUUCAACUGUUGCCUUUUGUCCCUCGUUACAAUGUCGUACGGUAAACACUGAUGUGAAUCGGGAAUCAGUUUACUGGUAAUGUUGACAGAGAUUGGGGGGGGGGGAACCCACAUAAAGAUUAAAGAAUUGGUUCUUAAGAGCUUAAAACAACUUAACACAGACAAAGCAGCAUCUAGCCCAGGUGGAAAGAAUCCAUGAACUGCAGGCCACAAUAAGGGAAGGAAGCAAAGAUGUAGCUUACAGUGUGCUUUCUUUUUUGCAUUCACUUGGUUCAGGAAUUUAGAAGGCUCCAAGUUGAAGG
Long non-coding RNA from Lacerta agilis (Sand lizard), 635 nucleotides. RefSeq lists it as uncharacterized. The record is from RefSeq and is a predicted model, not a curated record. Lineage: Eukaryota; Metazoa; Chordata; Lepidosauria; Squamata; Lacertidae. The transcript has 3 exons.